GAUGAACGCUAGCGGCAGGCUUAACACAUGCAAGUCGAGGGGUAUUGGUUUUCGGACCAAGAGACCGGCGCACGGGUGCGUAACGCGUAUGCAAUCUACCUUUUGCAGAGGGAUAGCCCAGAGAAAUUUGGAUUAAUACCUCAUAGUAUAGUACUUUGGCAUCAAGGAACUAUUAAAGUCACAACGGCAAAAGAUGAGCAUGCGUCCCAUUAGCUAGUUGGUAAGGUAACGGCUUACCAAGGCUACGAUGGGUAGGGGUCCUGAGAGGGAGAUCCCCCACACUGGUACUGAGACACGGACCAGACUCCUACGGGAGGCAGCAGUGAGGAAUAUUGGACAAUGGGCGCAAGCCUGAUCCAGCCAUGCCGCGUGCAGGAUGACGGUCCUAUGGAUUGUAAACUGCUUUUAUACAGGAGAACACUCCGACGUGUCGGAGCUUGACGGUACUGUAAGAAUAAGGAUCGGCUAACUCCGUGCCAGCAGCCGCGGUAAAG
This 494-nucleotide ribosomal RNA is filed under the name uncultured bacterium. RNAcentral's name for it is "bacterial SSU rRNA". It matches the Rfam family "Bacterial small subunit ribosomal RNA", at positions 28 to 525 of the family's 1533-position model. The record is from RNAcentral.